RNAcentral lists this ribosomal RNA (591 nucleotides) under Chuanchia labiosa. RNAcentral's name for it is "partial 16S ribosomal RNA". It matches the Rfam family "Bacterial large subunit ribosomal RNA", at positions 1810 to 2603 of the family's 2925-position model. The record is from RNAcentral. Lineage: Eukaryota; Metazoa; Chordata; Actinopteri; Cypriniformes; Cyprinidae.
AAAACAUCGCCUCCUGCAACACAACCAAGUAUAGGAGGUCCAGCCUGCCCAGUGACUACAAGUUCAACGGCCGCGGUAUUUUGACCGUGCAAAGGUAGCGCAAUCACUUGUCUCUUAAAUGGAGACCUGUAUGAAUGGCUAAACGAGGGCUUAACUGUCUCCCCCCUCCAGUCAGUGAAAUUGAUCUACCCGUGCAGAAGCGGGUGUAAUAAUACAAGACGAGAAGACCCUUUGGAGCUUAAGGUACAAAAAUCAACCACGUCAAGCAACUUAGUAAAGAGCAGAAACUUUGUGGGUAGUGAUUUUUUACCUUCGGUUGGGGCGACCACGGAGGAAAAAAGAGCCUCCAGGUGGACUGGGAGAGCAUCCUAAAGCUAAGAGAGACAUCUCUAAGCCGCAGAACAUCUGACCAAUCAUGAUCCGGCUAACAAAGCCGAUCAACGAACCAAGUUACCCUAGGGAUAACAGCGCAAUCCUCUCCCAGAGUCCAUAUCGACGAGGGGGUUUACGACCUCGAUGUUGGAUCAGGACAUCCUAAUGGUGCAGCCGCUAUUAAGGGUUCGUUUGUUCAACGAUUAAAGUCCUACGUGA